GUCAGUCUGCUACAGCAGCACCACAUCAUCCAUCAUUGUGGGACAGCGGGACAACAUCCUGGUGAUCAGAGUGGAAUAGUGUGUACAUUUGCUGCUGGAUCGGGACAACGAUGCUGAGGAUGUGGGGGACAAGCAUGACGCAGAAGGAGAGCACCAGCAUUGAUAUCGAGUUGGCCAAGCAACAGCACCAGUCUGGCCUGUAGGAGCCCCAAUACAGAACGAUCCUUUCCCUCCCCUGACCCCUAGCUCCUCCCUCUGGACCUCCGGCCUCAAAGGGUCAGCAUCGUUACACAAGUCUGUUCUGCAAUAAAUCCUCAGCACGUCAAGUUUUCACGUGCUGUUAUGAACAACCGAAAUGUCUGUGUCGAGACUUUCCCAAGCAAGCCCGAGUAGUUUUGUUUAGCUCUAGUGCCCAAGUGGGAUGAGUGUUACAGAAGCAAAACGUAAUAGCAGCACUUAUGGUAAAGCUAAAAUUAAACGCUAACAGUUAGUUAUCGCUGUGGACAUCACGAAGAAUCUCACGAAGAAUUAAACGUUGAAUAAUUUGUUUCAUUCUUUAUAAGGCAGCUAUAUAUUCAGCGAUGAACGGGAGCAAAUCAAGGAACAAUCGAAACGAUUAAUUCAGAAGUGUAUCUGCUGGAGAUAGUUAGGACAGUAGUAGAGUUACAGACUGUCCUCAGCGCACAAUAUAUUCAUGUGGUGCGCCUCAGACGCGAAAUCCGCCCAUUAUUGAAAACAUGUUGCUAAAAGUAAACACGUCCGGUUUUGUUACGAGCACUUUGCACUCCGAGGCCAAAGUGCAUCGCAUUGAAUUGAGACUAAAGAAGGCUUCAAAACAUGACACCAGUUUUGUUGUAAGGUCCAGUACGCCCUUCGACUAUCAACCCGAAGUUAAUCAGAACUCAAACUCGGCCCUUAUAUCAGCUCAGCUUCUGAGCUUCAGGAGAGCACCAGCAUUGGUAUCGAGUUGGCCCAGCAUCAGUACCAGUCCAGCAUGCAGGAGAUCCAGUCACGGACGACCCUUCCCCUCCCCUGACCACUAACUCCUCACUUUUGACCUGCAGCCUCAAAGGAUCAGCAUCGUUGAACAAUUCUGUUCUGCAGGAAAUUCUCAGCACGUCAAGUUUUCACGGGCUGUUCUCAACAACCGCAAUGUCCUGGUCGAGUUUUCCACACUCAAGCCUGAGUAGUUUUGUUAAAUAUAAGCAGUAGAAAUGGUAAAACUAACAGCCAGUGUGCUUGCUCUGGGACAUCACAAAGAAUAUCACAGAAUACAAAGUUGAAUAACUUGUUCCAUUCAUUAUGGGACCAACAGAAAUUCAGCAAGAAACAGGGCAAAAAAUCACGGAACAAUUGAAGCGAUUAAUUUAGAAGUGUAGGCUUUCCAAAGUAGAUACUUUUGCUGUUGAUAGUUUUGACAGUAAUAGCGUUACGGACGUCUCGGUUUGUCCUCUCAGGCGUGUAAACUGUCCAAAGAGAACACGCUUCUGACGCUUUUACUGACGAAGAAAGGCAGUAAUGACUUGGCUGUGAACACCCAGAGCACAAUACAUCCUUGGGGCAUGCCUCAGACGCAAAUUCCGCCCAAGAUUAUAAACAAGGCGCAAAAUGUGAACAUGUCUAGCUUUGUUAUGAGCACUUCCCACUCCGAGCCCAUAGGCCUCGUAUUGAAUCGAGGCUGAGAAGGCAUUGAUAAAUGACAGAAGUUGUGUUGUGUGGUCCAGUACGCCCUUUGACUCUCAAUCCGACGUUUAUCAGAACUCAAACUCAGCCCUUAGCAAUAUCAGCUCAGCUCCUUGAGCCUAAGGACUUGAUGCAAUCCUUGAUUGGUACCCAGCUUAACAACAGGCUCUCUGGUCAGCUGGUCCCAGACGCCCAGAGACACUUCCUGUGCAUCGGGGGUAGUUGGCUCUUGGCGCAGGACCUCGGGGCAAAUGAUCAAUGAAUACUUCCCGCAGGGUGCAGCCAGUCUAAACCUGGGGUUUCAAACUUUCCUGCCUAAGGGCCGAGAUACUCUCAUCCACAAGGGACACAUUUCUGGGAGGCGCUAAGACCAUUUUAUCUGUUCACAGAGGCUUAUACUCACAAGUUCAGGCCCAGAGAGAAAUGUCCCCAACUACAACUUAACCCCUACAUCUCAAUAUGAGAGCACCAGCAUUGACUAUUGUGUUGGCCCAACAACAGCACCAGUCCGGCAUGCAUGAGCCCCAGUCCAGGACAACUCUUCCCCUACCCUGAUCCAUAUCUCCUCCCCCAAGACCUCCAGCCUCAAAUUUUAAACACAUCCAGUUUUCUUGCACUGUUCUCAUCAACCGCAAUGUCCACGUCAAGUUAUCCAUUGUCGAGCCUGAGUUGUUUUGUUUAGCUUGAGUGUCCGAGUGGGAAGAGUGUUACAGACACAAGGAGUUAUAUCAGUAGUUAUGGUAAUGCUCAAUCAACAGUCAGUUCUUGCUGUUGGACAUCACUGUAAAUGAGAAGCUGAAUAACUUGUUCCAUUCGUUAUGGGACAAACACAAAUUCAGCGAGGAACGGGACAAAAAAUCAAGGAACAAUUGAAGCGAUUAAUGCAAAAGUGUAGGCUAGAUACUUCUGCUGUUGAUAGUUAGGACAGUAGUAGCGUUACGGACCGUCUUGGUUUGUCCUCUCAGGCGUCUAAACUGUCCAAAGGGAACAUAAAGCUUUUGACGCUGUUGCUGAUGAAGAAAGGCAGUAAUGACUUUGCUGUGAACACCAAGAGCACAAUACAUCAAUGGGGCAUGCCUCAGACGCUAAUUGUGCCCAAGAUUGUAAACAAGGUGCAAAAUGUGAACAUGUCUAGCUUUGUUACGAGCACAUGCUUGGCACUUGUAUUGAAUCGAGAAUAGAGAUGGCUUUGAAAAAUGACAGCAGUUUUGUAAUGUCGUCCAGUACGCACUUUGACUCUCAACCGAGUUAGUCAGAACUCAAACUCGGGCCUUAGUAAUAUCAGCAAGAGCCUGGAUGUUUGCAAAAUUGCUUUAUAUCCUGAUGAUAACACCAGUAACUAGAAGUUGUAGAGACGCUCAAACUGAAACAAUUUGUUCCAACAGAUAGAACAGGCGUUGAUUGACUCGUCCGUAAAAUCCACUGGCCUUAAUAUGUUGCUCUCGAAUAAUGUGAACCUCACCAGGAGAGCUGUCUUCGAUUGACGCCAUUCAACAACAGUUGUUGUCGGGAAUUCCCAGGUUUGGGUUGGUGACUUAGGUGUCAGGACUCGCUUCAUCUCUGCACAUGGCACGGUCGCAGCAGCAGCAACAAGAACAGCAGCUGUUUCCUAAAGGACCUCAUGCAAUCAUGGAUCGGUACCCAGAUGAACACCAUACUCUCUAGUCAGCUGUGCCCAGACGCCCAGGGAGACUUCCUGUGCGUGGGGUUGAUGGGCUCUUGGCCCAGGAUCUUAGGGCAAAUGCUCUAGUCCUACCCCCAGGAUGCAGCCAGUCUUAACCUGGGGCUUCAAUCUGUCAGAUCCAGGAGCCGAGAUGACCUCAUCCACAAGGUUGAUCGUCGCUUCUGAGUCCGGACAAAGAUGCUGAGGAUGUGGUGGACAAGAAUGACCUGAAUAUGCAGAAGGAGAGAACCAGCAUUGAUAUCGAGUUUGACCAGGAACAGCACCAGUCUGCCUGAAGAAUCCCCAGUCCAGGACGAUCCUUGCCCCCCCCCCCCCUGACCCCUAGCUCCUCAACCCUGACCUCUGGCCUCAAAGGGUCAUCAUAGUUGAAUUCAAGCGCUGUACUCAACAACCGCAAUGUCUGUGUCGAGUUUUCAACACUCAAGACUGAGUAGUUUUGUUGAGCUCGAGUGCCAGAGUGGGACAGACACAAUGAGUUAUAGAAGUAGUUAUGGUAACACUAACAGUCAGUUCUUGCCGUAUGACAUCACAACGAAUAUCACGAAGAAUAAAAAGUUGAUUAAUUUGUUCCAUUCUUUAUGGGACAAACAUAAAUUCAGCGAGGAUCGGGAAAAAAUCAAGGAAAUUUUACAAUUGAAGCGAUUAAUUCACAUGAGUAAGCUUUCCAAGCAGAAUACUUUUGCUGUCUAUAGUUUGGACAGUAGUAGAUUUACAAACGCGCUUUUGAUGCUGUUGCUGACAAAGAAAGGCAGUAACUACUUCAUUGUGAACACCCAGGGCACGAUACACCCAUGGGGUUUGCCUAAAAUGUGAAUUCCGCCCAAUAUUGUAAACAAGGUGCUAAAAGUAAACACGUCCGGUUUUGUUACGAACGCUUUGCACUCCAAACCCAAAGUACAUAGAAUCAACGCCAGAAAAGGCUUAGAAAAUGACAGCAGUUUCGUUGUGUGAUCCAGUAAGGACUCUGAACAACAUUAAUGAGACCUCAAACUUGACCAUAGCACUCACAGCGAGGCCAUCAUGUUAUCUCAGCUUCUUGAGCUUCAGCAAACAUUAUUAGCCAACAAGAUGAAAACAUCAUUGAAGUGAAAGUCAAAGACAAUCCUGACUUCCUUCAGGCACAAAUACUACAACUUGCUGAAGAAAUUCAGCACGAAGAUGUCUUGCGUCAGCCAAGCACGCCUCCUAUCAACUCUUCCAACAGCGGAGCCUUGGUGAGUUUGACUUCCGUCCAAGGUUUGAUGUCGCUUAGCAACAAUGAGAUGCUUGGCAUCAACAAAUUGUUCCGUACGAGUCGCUCGAACGUAAACGAUCUGAUCCAACAGAUAGAGCAGGUGUUGCGAGACUCGUCUGUUAAUGUGACUGACCUCGAUAUGUUGCUUUCGAAUAAUGUGAAUCUUAUGCCUGAAGAGCAGUAUGCGAUUGACGCCAUUCAACAACAGUAGUCGGGAAUUUCCGGGUUCGGGGUGGUGACUUCGUCGUCGGGACUCUCUUUCUAUUGCCUGGUCGCAGAGGCAGCAGCAACCAGAACAACAAGUAUUAUUUAAGCGAUGCUCUGUGGUAUGGGGCUUAAAAAGUUGUAACUCUGUUGCUCUGGUAUCUUCAAUACCAUUGAGUAAUUAAAUGGUAAUUAAAUUGAAUGCUUUUUAAUUCCCUUUUAUUAUUGUUUAAUUUGAGUUACAAUGCUAUGAGGUUAAAUUGUAUUUACACUUAAAUGUAUUAUGAAUAUUGCUGGGCCAAGUGUGAGGUUGAGCGCUCCAAAACCGGUUUAAACCCCCAAUGCUUUGCAUUGACGGUUCCAAGGUGCAUGGUGACCCCAGCUUUAUUCUUAUUUGUGUUUAUGUUGUUAAGUAUUGUGCUGUAUUGUG
Long non-coding RNA from Dreissena polymorpha, 5235 nucleotides. RefSeq lists it as uncharacterized. The transcript is spliced from 13 exons. NCBI's taxonomy places the organism in Eukaryota, Metazoa, Mollusca, Bivalvia, Myida, Dreissenidae. The record is from RefSeq and is a predicted model, not a curated record.